AUCCAUCUCAGGCCAGUCUCUUCUCUAUCAUACAUAUCACCACAUACCAUGGCACAUUUUGGCUUUUCUCAUAAAAAUGGGAAACAGUUAUGAGUAUACGUAUGCUGUGCCAAUCAUUGGCCUCAGUUGUGUGUCUCUUCUGAAAGAUGGAUGCUGGUGAUCCUCUACUGCCUCUUGAAUGCACUCCCUGAUGCCUGCCCGGCUGAGAGCAGAGAAUAAGAGCAGGAUGAAGAGAUUCAUUAAAGAGUAAAAGAUCAAACUGAAUAAAUGGUGAAACUGAGGACCCCUGCCUUCUCUAGGAAGUGUCUUGUUGCUGCCUUGAGGAUGUGGUGGUCUGAUCCACAACUCAUUGAAAUCAAUGAAAAGAAUCUAAUUGAUUUCAAAGGAUUUUGGCUCAAGCCCUGAGUUCCAUUUUAUCUUGCUCUUUGUUCUCUGGAAAGGAUUAAAGUUACCAGGAAGUCUUGUAUCUGAAUACGUCUUCCCAAAGCAUAAAAUGAAAUUGGCUCUAUCUAUUCAAAGCGAUUUCUGUAUGAGCUGCUUCUCAAGGUCAGGAGAAAGGCAUCUAGU
Molecule: long non-coding RNA, 567 nt
Organism: Gallus gallus (chicken)
Lineage: Eukaryota; Metazoa; Chordata; Aves; Galliformes; Phasianidae
Source: Ensembl